Molecule: ribosomal RNA, 353 nt
Filed under: Pseudoselenomonas ruminantium
Lineage: Bacteria; Bacillati; Bacillota; Negativicutes; Selenomonadales; Selenomonadaceae
Description: bacterial SSU rRNA
Rfam family: Bacterial small subunit ribosomal RNA
Source: RNAcentral
AGUAGUUUGAUCAUGGCUCAGGACGAACGCUGGCGGCGUGCUUAACACAUGCAAGUCGAACGAGACGAUUUUAAGCUUGCUUAGAUGAGUCGAGUGGCAAACGGGUGAGUAACGCGUAGACAACCUGCCGCAAAGAUGGGGACAACAUCCCGAAAGGGGUGCUAAUACCGAAUGUUGUAUCUUUUCCGCAUGGGAGAGAUAUUAAAGAUGGCCUCUACUUGUAAGCUAUCGCUUUGCGAUGGGUCUGCGUCUGAUUAGCUGGUUGGUGGGGUAACGGCCUACCAAGGCGACGAUCAGUAGCCGGUCUGAGAGGAUGAACGGCCACAUUGGAACUGAGACACGGUCCAGACUCC